RNAcentral lists this ribosomal RNA (494 nucleotides) under uncultured bacterium. RNAcentral's name for it is "partial 16S ribosomal RNA". It matches the Rfam family "Bacterial small subunit ribosomal RNA", at positions 28 to 507 of the family's 1533-position model. The record is from RNAcentral.
GACGAACGCUGGCGGCGUGCUUAACACAUGCAAGUCGAACGGUGAAGCGCCUUCCUUUUUGGUGGGUGUGGAUGAGUGGCGAACGGGUGAGUAACACGUGAGUAACCUGCCCCCUUCUUCUGGAUAACCGCAUGAAAGUGUGGCUAAUACGGGAUAUUCUGGGUCUGUCGCAUGAUGGGUCUGGGAAAGAUAUUGUUUCGGUGGGGGAUGGGCUCGCGGCCUAUCAGCUUGUUGGUGGGGUGAUGGCCUACCAAGGCGGUGACGGGUAGCCGGCCUGAGAGGGUGGACGGUCACACUGGGACGGAGACACGGCCCAGACUCCUACGGGAGGCAGCAGUGUGGAAUAUUGCACAAUGGGCGCAAGCCUGAUGCAGCGACGCCGCGUGAGGGAUGGAGGCCUUCGGGUUGUGAACCUCUUUCGCCAGUGAAGCAGGCCUGCCUCGUUUGUGGGUGGGUUGACGGUAGCUUGAUAAGAAGCGCCGGCUAACUACGUG